AGCGAACGCUGGCGGCAGGCCUAACACAUGCAAGUCGAACGAACCUUUCGGGGUUAGUGGCGGACGGGUGAGUAACACGUGGGAACGUGCCUUUAGGUUCGGAAUAACUCAGGGAAACUUGUGCUAAUACCGAAUGUGCCCUUCGGGGGAAAGAUUUAUCGUCUUUAGAGCGGCCCGCGUCUGAUUAGCUAGUUGGUUGAGGUAAUGGCUCACCAAGGCGACGAUCAGUAGCUGGUCUGAGAGGAUGAUCGGCCACAUUGGGACUGAGACACGGCCCAAACUCCUACGGGAGGCAGCAGUGGGGAAUCUUGCGCAAUGGGCGAAAGCCUGACGCAGCCAUGCCGCGUGAAUGAUGAAGGUCUUAGGAUUGUAAAAUUCUUUCACCGGGGACGAUAAUGACGGUACCCGGAGAAGAAGCCCCGGCUAACUUCGUG
RNAcentral lists this ribosomal RNA (434 nucleotides) under uncultured bacterium. Its description in RNAcentral is "partial 16S ribosomal RNA". It matches the Rfam family "Bacterial small subunit ribosomal RNA", at positions 29 to 507 of the family's 1533-position model. The record is from RNAcentral.